RNAcentral lists this unclassified non-coding RNA (212 nucleotides) under Hevea brasiliensis (rubber tree). The record is from RNAcentral. Lineage: Eukaryota; Viridiplantae; Streptophyta; Magnoliopsida; Malpighiales; Euphorbiaceae.
GAGAUUUUUUACUACAACUCUGCCUUUCGAUAGUGUAUGUGCUACUUGCCCAUGAGAUUAAAGAUAUCAAACUCAGUGGUAGUAAUUCUGCGAUCAGAAGGUUACCUUCUUUCUAUUGGCACUUAACCUAAGACAGAGUCUUUCUUUUCUCCUUUUUUUUAAGAAUACCUUGAAUCUUCCUAAACUUGGAUCAAUGAUCUUUUCUUUUUUCU